AGAGUUUGAUCCUGGCUCAGAACGAACGCUGGCGGCGUGCAUAACACAUGCAAGUCGAACGUGAUUGAGGAGCUUGCUCCUCAUGAAAGUGGCGCACGGGUGAGUAACGCGUAGAUAAUCUACCUGAUGAUCUGGGAUAACACUUCGAAAGGGGUGCUAAUACCUGAUAAGCACACGGAGUCCUUGGAUUCUGCGAGAAAAGGGGGGGACCUUUACCGGCCUUCCGUCAUCAGAUGAGUCUGCGUACCAUUAGCUAGUUGGUAGGGUAAAGGCCUACCAAGGCGACGAUGGUUAGCUGGUCUGAGAGGAUGAUCAGCCACACUGGAACUGAGACACGGUCCAGACUCCUACGGGUGGCAGCAGUAGGGAAUAUUGGUAAUGGGCGCAAGCCUGAACCAGCAACGCCGCGUGUGCGAUGAAGGCCUUCGGGUUGUAAAGCACUUUUUGCCGGGAAGAGCAAGGACGGUACCGGUAGAAUAAGCCUCGGCUAACUACGUGCCAGCAGCCGCGGUAAAACGUAGGAGGCGAGCGUUAUCCGGAUUUACUGGGUGUAAAGCGCGUGCAGGCGGACGGGUAAGUUGGGUGUGAAAGCUCCCGGCUCAACUGGGAGAGGUCGCUCAAGACUGCCGGUCUGGAGCGUGGCAGGGGAAGGCGGAAUUCCGGGUGUAGUGGUGAAAUGCGUAGAUAUCCGGAGGAACACCAGUGGCGAAAGCGGCCUUCUAGACCACGACUGACGCUCAGACGCGAAAGCUAGGGGAGCAAACGGGAUUAGAUACCCUGGUAGUCC
Molecule: ribosomal RNA, 787 nt
Filed under: uncultured bacterium
Lineage: Bacteria
Description: bacterial SSU rRNA
Rfam family: Bacterial small subunit ribosomal RNA
Source: RNAcentral